RNAcentral lists this ribosomal RNA (626 nucleotides) under Enterococcus faecalis. RNAcentral's name for it is "bacterial SSU rRNA". It matches the Rfam family "Bacterial small subunit ribosomal RNA", at positions 93 to 705 of the family's 1533-position model. The record is from RNAcentral. Lineage: Bacteria; Bacillati; Bacillota; Bacilli; Lactobacillales; Enterococcaceae.
GAGUGGCGGACGGGUGAGUAACACGUGGGUAACCUACCCAUCAGAGGGGGAUAACACUUGGAAACAGGUGCUAAUACCGCAUAACAGUUUAUGCCGCAUGGCAUAAGAGUGAAAGGCGCUUUCGGGUGUCGCUGAUGGAUGGACCCGCGGUGCAUUAGCUAGUUGGUGAGGUAACGGCUCACCAAGGCCACGAUGCAUAGCCGACCUGAGAGGGUGAUCGGCCACACUGGGACUGAGACACGGCCCAGACUCCUACGGGAGGCAGCAGUAGGGAAUCUUCGGCAAUGGACGAAAGUCUGACCGAGCAACGCCGCGUGAGUGAAGAAGGUUUUCGGAUCGUAAAACUCUGUUGUUAGAGAAGAACAAGGACGUUAGUAACUGAACGUCCCCUGACGGUAUCUAACCAGAAAGCCACGGCUAACUACGUGCCAGCAGCCGCGGUAAUACGUAGGUGGCAAGCGUUGUCCGGAUUUAUUGGGCGUAAAGCGAGCGCAGGCGGUUUCUUAAGUCUGAUGUGAAAGCCCCCGGCUCAACCGGGGAGGGUCAUUGGAAACUGGGAGACUUGAGUGCAGAAGAGGAGAGUGGAAUUCCAUGUGUAGCGGUGAAAUGCGUAGAUAUAUGGAGGA